AUAACGGUCCUAAGGUAGCGAAAUUCCUUGUCGGGUAAGUUCCGACCUGCACGAAAGGCGCAACGACUUGGGCGCUGUCUCGACCAUGGACCCGGUGAAAUUGCACUGGUCGUGAAGAUGCGACUUACCCGCGGAAGGACGGAAAGACCCCGUGAACCUUCACUGCAGCUUGGCAUUGGCCGCUGGUCCCGCGUGUAGAGGAUAGGCAGGAGGCGAAGAUCCGGAGGCGCCAGCCCCCGGGGAGCCGCCCUUGGAAUACUGCCCUCGCGCGACCGGCGUCCUAACCCGAGGCCGUCAACCGGCUCGGGGACCGUGCCAGGCGGGCAGUUUGACUGGGGCGGUCGCCUCCUAAAGGGUAACGGAGGCGCGCGAAGGUCCGCUCGGGACGGUCGGCAACCGUCCUUUUGAAUGCAAGAGUACAAGCGGGCUUGACUGCGAGGCCCACAAGCCGAGCAGGUGCGAAAGCAGGCUCUAGUGAUCCGGCGGCCCCGAGUGGGUGGGCCGUCGCUCAACGGAUAAAAGGUACUCCGGGGAUAACAGGCUGAUCUUGCCCAAGAGUCCACAUCGACGGCAAGGUUUGGCACCUCGAUGUCGGCUCAUCGCAUCCUGGGGCUGGAGCAGGUCCCAAGGGUACGGCUGUUCGCCGUUUAAAGCGGUACGCGAGCUGGGUUCAGAACGUCGUGAGACAGUUCGGUCCCUAUCCUCCGUGGGCGCAAGAGAAUUGAGAGGAUCUGUCCCUAGUACGAGAGGACCGGGAUGGACGCACCUCUGGUGCCGCAGUUGUCGACCAACGGCACAGCUGCCUAGCUACGUGCGGAACGGAUAACCGCUGAAAGCAUCUAAGCGGGAAGCCGGCCUCGAGAUGAGUUCUCUCUUCGGUAAGGCCACUUGUAGACCACAAGUUCGAUAGGCCGCAGCUGCAAGCCCCGCGAGGGGCUCAGGCGAGCGGUACUAAUCGGCCGAGCUCUUCAUCUC
RNAcentral lists this ribosomal RNA (975 nucleotides) under human gut metagenome. RNAcentral describes it as "bacterial LSU rRNA". It matches the Rfam family "Bacterial large subunit ribosomal RNA", at positions 1942 to 2925 of the family's 2925-position model. The record is from RNAcentral.